GGGGGUGUAAUAGAUUUGACGGGUAUCUGUUGCCUUUCGGGAGCAAGUACCGGUUGGCCAGGCCGGUUAAAAUAGGGCCAUAAAAAUAACUGACAAUCAAGUCAACUGGGCUACUGCUUAGUCCACUGCCUCUUUCCUGUUUCCCGCGCGGGAAAGAACGGCAGUCAAACCACGGGAUGCUACAGCCUUGGCGCGGUUCGUCCGGGCUGGAUAAGACAAACGAACCAAACUAUCGGCGUGCUUCCUUGCGCUUAGCCGAUAGUAAAUAGCAAGGAUAAACUUGUAGAGCCUGCUAGGAGAAGAUGUUCGGACGGGGGUGCGAAUCCCCCCACCUCCACU
RNAcentral lists this transfer-messenger RNA (339 nucleotides) under bovine gut metagenome. It matches the Rfam family "transfer-messenger RNA". From Rfam's summary of the family: Bacterial tmRNA, also known as 10Sa RNA or SsrA, is named for its dual tRNA and mRNA-like properties. Its role is to liberate the mRNA from a stalled ribosome. To accomplish this part of the tmRNA is used as a reading frame that ends in a translation stop signal. The record is from RNAcentral.